RNAcentral lists this ribosomal RNA (499 nucleotides) under Philautus acutus (sharp bubble-nest frog). RNAcentral describes it as "partial 16S ribosomal RNA". It matches the Rfam family "Bacterial large subunit ribosomal RNA", at positions 1901 to 2573 of the family's 2925-position model. The record is from RNAcentral. Lineage: Eukaryota; Metazoa; Chordata; Amphibia; Anura; Rhacophoridae.
CCAGCCUGCCAGUGACAAAUUCAACGGCCACGGUAUCCUAACCGUGCAAAGGUAGCAUAAUCACUUGUUCUUUAAAUAAGGACUAGUAUCAACGGCAUCACGAGAGUCACACUGUCUCCUUUCCCCAAUCAGUGAAACUGAUCUCCCCGUGAAGAAGCGGGGAUAAAACUAUAAGACGAGAAGACCCCAUGGAGCUUUAAACCCUAAGCAACCCAAUCCAAUACCCCCAUUACAAACGCAAAGCCUUGCUCAACGGUUUUAGGUUGGGGUGACCACGGAGUAAAAACCAACCUCCAAGACGAAAAGAACUAAACCUUUAUCCAAGAGAUACCCCUCUAAGAAUUAGAAUACUAACGUAUAAUGACCCAACAAUGAUCAACGAACCAAGUUACCCUGGGGAUAACAGCGCAAUCUACUUCAAGAGCCCAUAUCGACAAGUAGGCUUACGACCUCGAUGUUGGAUCAGGAUAUCCCAGUGGUGCAGUCACUACUGACGGUU